This 2740-nucleotide unclassified non-coding RNA is filed under the name Hevea brasiliensis (rubber tree). The record is from RNAcentral. Lineage: Eukaryota; Viridiplantae; Streptophyta; Magnoliopsida; Malpighiales; Euphorbiaceae.
CCAAGGAUUGGUCCUCUCUCACUCUAAUAAAUUGCCCUUUUCUAAUUAUUUUUUUAAUCUCUCGAGUGUCCCUGUCCUUCUCCACUUUCCCUAGAAUAAUUAUAGCUAACAAGGUAUGUAUUUGAUAUCACUGGGUCUGAAUUACUGUGCUAGCAAGAAAACUAGAGAGAGAGAGAAGGAGAAAGAGGAGAGAGAGAUCCAUUCUCUGUCCUUCUCAUAUCACCUUCCAUGGUUGUCCCAUCUCAGCCUCCAUUCCUCUGCUUUCUCUUCUUCCUCUUUUCUUGUUGAAAUAAUUAAAAAAAAUCCAAUAAAUGCUACCCAGAUAGUAACACCAAUUUUUAAAUUAUUUGCUAUGCAAUUAUUAUCCUAUUCUUCAUUUUUAUUAUAUAAACAUGACAACAUUUUCCCUAAUUUUGCAGCUUUUUAUUGUUUGUUGCUUUUGUUGUUCUUUCAAGAGCAAGACAUCCAUCAUCUUCAAUCCUUCUAUUAAAAAGUCCUUUUUAAUAGAGAGAAGAAGAAAAAAGUGAAAACAACAAAUAUCCAACCCGUCAUUAUUGCUUUGCAGCUUCAAGGAUGCUUCAAACCAUCUGCAUUCUCUUAAUUUGCCUCUCUACCUCUUCCCUUCUCUUUAUUAGAGCUACUUCCUUCAAUCUCUCCCUUCCCCACCAACACCCUGAUCCUGAAGCUGUUGCACAUGAUGUUCAAAGGUGAGCCUCUGUAACUACGCUAUUAAAUCUCGCCAAAUCCACUUCUGGGUUUACUUCAUUUUGUGUUUUCGCGGUUUGAGUUUAUGCAGUUUUGCUACAUCCUAGAUUUUUCUUCAUCGCAAGUUCAGAUUCUAACUUGUAUUUUCCCCAUUUUAACUUGGUGGUCCAUUGCAUUUUCAUGCAAUUUGAUCUAGAUCGAUUUUCUCCUAUUUAUUGCAUUUUCUCGGCAACCAAACUGCAACCAAAUAAAGAUUUGCCACACCGUCCUACAUUUUCAUAGAAAGUUAUUUUCGUUUCUAGUUAUUUCAGUCAUUUUUCUUGCGUCCCCUACAUUUUCCCAUCGACCAAGCAUUUGCUCUGUUUUCUCUGUUUUCUCUGUUUUGCUUUUAUAUUCCAACAUUGAUUUUACAUUUUCUUUUAAACCAAACAGGGUAUGAUCUUAUCUCUAUUUUGGGUAUUUUCUUUUCCAUUUUUAAAAACCUUGCAGGAGAGUCGAUGCAUCUAUAUCAAUACGGCAACUUUUGCCGACCCAAGAAAAGGACAAAUGCCAAACUGGAAACCCAAUCGACGACUGCUGGCGUUGCGAUGCCAAUUGGGCCAACAACCGCCAACGCUUAGCCGACUGCGUCAUAGGCUUCGGCCAGGGUGCAUUAGGCGGCAGAGGAGGCCAGAUCUACAUAGUCACCGACUCCUCGGACCGUGACCCCACCAACCCAACUCCGGGAACCCUCCGUUACGGCGUCAUCCAAGACGAACCCCUCUGGAUUAUCUUCUCCACUAGCAUGACCAUCAAGCUCAAACACGAACUCAUAUUCAAUAGCUACAAAACCAUCGACGGCCGUGGAGCUAACGUCCACAUUACUGGCAAUGGGUGCAUAACACUCCAGUACGUGUCCCACAUUAUUAUCCACAACAUCCACGUCCACAAUUGCAAGCCCUCGGGCAACACUAACAUAGCAUCAUCACCAACGCACGUUGGAUAUAGAGGAAGAUCGGACGGUGAUGGAAUCUCCAUCUUUGGGUCCCAGAAAAUAUGGAUUGAUCACUGCACUCUAUCGUAUUGUACAGAUGGUUUGAUUGAUGCUAUAAUGGGGUCCACUGGAAUCACAAUAUCAAACAACUAUUUUUCUCAUCAUGAUGAGGUGAUGCUGUUAGGGCACGAUGAUAAAUACGUUUUGGACUCCGGAAUGCAGGUGACUAUAGCUUUUAACCGAUUCGGUGAGGCGCUGGUGCAGCGUAUGCCUCGGUGUAGACGCGGGUAUAUACACGUGGUAAACAAUGAUUUCACGUACUGGGAGAUGUAUGCAAUCGGCGGUAGCGGUAACCCUACCAUUAAUAGUCAGGGUAAUCGGUACAUUGCACCGGCUGAUCCUAAUGCCAAAGAGGUGACAAAGCGCGUGGACACGGAGCAAGGCGAGUGGACAGAUUGGAAUUGGAGAACAGAUGGGGACAUAAUGGUAAAUGGAGCAUUCUUUGUCCCAUCAGGGGCUGGGUUGAGCGCCCAGUAUGCAAAAGCGUCUAGCGUGGAGCCCAAAUCUGCUGGGUUAAUCAACCAACUCACCAUGAACGCUGGUGUCUUUGGUGAUCCCAGGGACAAUAAUGGGGGCAUGUCAAAUUCAGGCAACGGCUACGGGACCAGCACCAGCACGGGUAGUGCUGGGUCCGGCGGUGAUGGAGACUACUUCGGAAUGAUAUUCGGUAGCGGCGCUCCACCACCCACUUCUACUAGCACAAUCUUUUUGUCUCUUGUAAUUAUUUUAAUAUUGUACACUUGUAUGGUAGCCAACCAUGGUGCCAUAUUAUCAUUUCCAUUAUCAUGAUUAUUAUAAUGAUUAUAGUAGUUGAUAUUGAAAGGGAAAGCAUCCGUCAAGAUGGCCUGGAAAAAGAAGGCAAGUUGAUUUGGUCCCAUUGCUUAGCCAAUAUUGCAAUUGUAUAGCAUGAAUUUUUUUUUUUAGUCCAUUUUGUACUGGGCUUUUAGUGGGCUUUUCAGAUUUUAAAUAAUUUUCAAGCUCACAAUAAGUAAAGUGAUUUUU